AGGAAGGUGGGGAUGACGUCAAAUCAUCAUGCCCCUUAUGACCUGGGCUACACACGUGCUACAAUGGACGGUACAAAGAGCUGCAAGACCGCGAGGUGGAGCUAAUCUCAUAAAACCGUUCUCAGUUCGGAUUGUAGGCUGCAACUCGCCUACAUGAAGCUGGAAUCGCUAGUAAUCGCGGAUCAGCAUGCCGCGGUGAAUACGUUCCCGGGCCUUGUACACACCGCCCGUCACACCACGAGAGUUUGUAACACCCGAAGUCGG
This 264-nucleotide ribosomal RNA is filed under the name Bacillus thuringiensis. Its description in RNAcentral is "partial 16S ribosomal RNA". It matches the Rfam family "Bacterial small subunit ribosomal RNA", at positions 1167 to 1430 of the family's 1533-position model. Lineage: Bacteria; Bacillati; Bacillota; Bacilli; Caryophanales; Bacillaceae. The record is from RNAcentral.